AAACUAUGGUGUCGGCAUCUUUAUAUUAACAUCUUCAAACUCUCCCAAGCUUCAUGAAAACUCUCUCCUUCUAUUUGCCUAAAUGUAAUGAUCUCUCUCCUUAGUUG
Molecule: small nucleolar RNA, 107 nt
Organism: Gossypium raimondii (Peruvian cotton)
Lineage: Eukaryota; Viridiplantae; Streptophyta; Magnoliopsida; Malvales; Malvaceae
Rfam family: Plant small nucleolar RNA R71
About the family: R71 is a member of the C/D box family of snoRNAs containing the C (UGAUGA) and D (CUGA) box motifs. Multiple nearly identical copies of this snoRNA have been identified in Arabidopsis, and it is thought to function as a 2'-O-ribose methylation guide for 18S ribosomal RNA.
Source: Rfam